Molecule: ribosomal RNA, 499 nt
Filed under: uncultured bacterium
Lineage: Bacteria
Description: bacterial SSU rRNA
Rfam family: Bacterial small subunit ribosomal RNA
Source: RNAcentral
AACGAACGCUGGCGGCGUGCCUAAACAUGCAAGUCGCACGAGAAAGUAUUUAUACGAGUAAAGUGGCGCACGGGUGAGUAACACGUGGAUAACAUACCUUCGAGACUGGUAUAACAGUUGGAAACGACUGAUAAUCCCAGAUAAAGUUUAGAAUACAUUGGGGUAUUUUGAAUGAAAGCGGGCCUUCGGGUGUCGGCUUGAAGAGUGGUCUGCGUCCCAUUAGCUAGUUGGUGAGGUAAAGGCUCAUCCAAGGCAUUGAUGGGUAGCUGGUCUGAGAGGACGAUCAGCCACACUGGGACUGAAACACGGCCCAGACUCCUACGGGGAGGCAGCAGUUAGGAAUAUUGCGCAAUGGAGGGAACUCUGACGCAGCGACGCCGCGUGAGCGAAGAAGGCCUUAGGGUUGUAAAGCUCUGUUGAAAGGGAAGAAUGCUGACGGAUGAAUAAUUUGGUUAGUUGACGGUACCUUUUAAGAAAGCACCGGCUAACUCUGUGCCAG